GACGAACGCUGGCGGCGUGCUUAACACAUGCAAGUCGAACGCUGAAGCUUGGUGCUUGCACUGGGUGGAUGAGUGGCGAACGGGUGAGUAAUACGUGAGUAACCUGCCCUUGACUCUGGGAUAAGCCUGGGAAACUGGGUCUAAUACUGGAUACGACAUGUCACCGCAUGGUGGUGUGUGGAAAGGGUUUUACUGGUUUUGGAUGGGCUCACGGCCUAUCAGCUUGUUGGUGGGGUAAUGGCUCACCAAGGCGACGACGGGUAGCCGGCCUGAGAGGGUGACCGGCCACACUGGGACUGAGACACGGCCCAGACUCCUACGGGAGGCAGCAGUGGGGAAUAGUGCACAAUGGGCGGAAGCAUGAUGCAGGGACGCCGGGUGAGGGAUGACGGCCUUCGGGUUGUAAACCUCUUCAGCACGGAAGAAGCGAAAGUGACGGUACGUGCAGAAGAAGCGCCGGCUAACUACGUG
This 471-nucleotide ribosomal RNA is filed under the name uncultured bacterium. RNAcentral's name for it is "partial 16S ribosomal RNA". It matches the Rfam family "Bacterial small subunit ribosomal RNA", at positions 28 to 507 of the family's 1533-position model. The record is from RNAcentral.